RNAcentral lists this ribosomal RNA (520 nucleotides) under uncultured bacterium. Its description in RNAcentral is "bacterial SSU rRNA". It matches the Rfam family "Archaeal small subunit ribosomal RNA", at positions 345 to 866 of the family's 1478-position model. The record is from RNAcentral.
AACCUCCGCAAUGUGAGAAAUCGCGACGGGGGGAUCCCAAGUGCCAUUCUUAACGGGAUGGCUUUUCAUUAGUGUAAAGAGCUUUUGGAAUAAGGGCUGGGCAAGACCGGUGCCAGCCGCCGCGGUAACACCGGCAGCUCUAGUGGUAGCAGUUUUUAUUGGGCCUAAAGCGUCCGUAGCCGGUUUAAUAAGUCUCUGGUGAAAUCCUGUAGCUUAACUGUGGGAAUUGCUGGAGAUACUAUUAGACUUGAGACCGGGAGAGGUUAGAGGUACUCCCAGGGUAGAGGUGAAAUUCUGUAAUCCUGGGAGGACCGCCUGUUGCGAAGGCGUCUAACUGGAACGGUUCUGACGGUGAGGGACGAAAGUUAGGGGCGCGAACCGGAUUAGAUACCCGGGGUAUCCUAACUGUAAACGAUGCGGACUUGGUGUUGGGGUGGCUUUGAGCUGCUCCAGUGCCGAAGGGAGCUGUUAAGUCCGCCGCCUGGGAAGUACGGUCGCAAGACUGAAACUUAAAGGAAGU